Molecule: long non-coding RNA, 771 nt
Organism: Rhinolophus ferrumequinum (greater horseshoe bat)
Lineage: Eukaryota; Metazoa; Chordata; Mammalia; Chiroptera; Rhinolophidae
Exons: 3
Source: RefSeq, a predicted model, not a curated record
GGUAGAGGAAUAAAGAAGAAAGAUAAGAACUCACCACCAAGUCCUCCCAAAAUCAUUUUCAGUGUACUCUUGUUCUUAUUUGGGAUGCUUCUUUGAGCUCUUAUUUCUAGGGGCAUGAUUUUUAUUAUAUCCCAUUAUGAACCUGUAAAACAGUAAAGUGUCUACUAACAUCUACAAAUUGUACUUUAGGGCAAUUUGUUGAAAAAUUGUGACCCAAUUUAAUUUUCUGAUUUGGACCACAUUUAAUAAAAAAACACUUUUAUUUAUUUUUAACUGUGUUUUUCCAGGACCCAUUAGCUCCAAGUCAAGUAGCUGUUUCAAUCUAGUUGUGGAGGGCGCAGUUCACAGUAGCCCACGUGGGGAUUGAACCGGCAACCCUGGUGUUAUGAGCAUCGUGCUCUAACCAACUGAGCAACAGACCACCCCUAAUUUGGACCACUUUUGAAAAGAGGAGAAGAAAAAAAUAUUUAAUGUCUUAGCACAUCAGGCUGACAUACUUGUCCCUGCACACCUGACUAAUCUUUUACGUUUCCUGACAAACAUCGCAGAUCCAGCUCUUGGAGCGUGACCCAGCCGCACUAUGGCAACUCUACAGAGGACACUGAAUGCCUGAUAGGGGUGGAUCGUGCCCGUUGCCCUGAGCAAGCCCCUUCCAGGGGAAGUAAAGGGCAGAUGCCAUCCAAGAACAGCACCUAGCACCACUCCCCAUGCCAGCUCAGCUAGGAACCUAAUGUGGGAGUGCAGUGGGUCAUGGAGGAUGGGAAGCCCAUU